RNAcentral lists this non-coding RNA (45 nucleotides) under Echinostoma caproni. The record is from RNAcentral. Lineage: Eukaryota; Metazoa; Platyhelminthes; Trematoda; Plagiorchiida; Echinostomatidae.
GUACUGCUGACGAGUACCAAACAGGACGAAACAGCUGUCGAGUAC